RNAcentral lists this ribosomal RNA (460 nucleotides) under uncultured bacterium. Its description in RNAcentral is "partial 16S ribosomal RNA". It matches the Rfam family "Bacterial small subunit ribosomal RNA", at positions 338 to 795 of the family's 1533-position model. The record is from RNAcentral.
CCUACGGGGGGCAGCAGUGAGGAAUAUUGGUCAAUAGACGCAAGUCUGAACCAGCCAUGCCGCGUGCAGGAAGACGGCUCUAUGAGUUGUAAACUGCUUUUGUACGAGGGUAAACGCAGAUACGCGUAUCUGUCUGAAAGUAUCGUACGAAUAAGGAUCGGCUAACUCCGUGCCAGCAGCCGCGGUAAUACGGAGGAUUCAAGCGUUAUCCGGAUUUAUUGGGUUUAAAGGGUGCGUAGGCGGUCGGAUAAGUUAGAGGUGAAAUCCCGGUGCUCAACACCGGAACUGCCUCUAAUACUGUUGAACUAGAGAGUAGUUGCGGUAGGCGGAAUGUAUGGUGUAGCGGUGAAAUGCUUAGAGAUCAUACAGAACACCGAUUGCGAAGGCAGCUUACCAAACUAUAUCUGACGUUGAGGCACGAAAGCGUGGGUAGCAAACAGGAUUAGAUACCCCAGUAGUC